RNAcentral lists this ribosomal RNA (394 nucleotides) under Eupolyphaga sinensis. RNAcentral describes it as "partial 12S ribosomal RNA". It matches the Rfam family "Microsporidia small subunit ribosomal RNA", at positions 752 to 1221 of the family's 1311-position model. The record is from RNAcentral. Lineage: Eukaryota; Metazoa; Arthropoda; Insecta; Blattodea; Corydiidae.
UAUUAUUAAAGAUGUAAAGUUUUUAUUCUUGAGUAGUAUUAGUUGCGGUCUUGAAACUUAAAGAAUUUGGCGGUAUCUUAGUCCGUUUAGAGGAAUCUGUUCCGUGAUCGAUAAUCCGCGCUGAAACUUACUUAGUUAAGGUUUAUAUACCGCCGUUUUAUUGAAAAUCUUUUUAGGGUUAUAAAUUUUCUUUCUUUUAAUUAGAUUAUAUUUCAGGUCAAGGUUUAAUUUAUAAUUAAGUGGAAAUGGAUUACAAUAAUUUUUGAUUAUACGAAUAGUCAGUUGUAAUAUUGAUAUGAAGGUGGAUUUAAUAGUAAUUUUAUUUAGUAUAUUGAGAUGAUUUAGGCUCUAAGAUGUGUACACAUCGCCCGUCGCUCUCGUUAUUUAAGAUGAG